Molecule: long non-coding RNA, 1632 nt
Filed under: Mus musculus (house mouse)
Lineage: Eukaryota; Metazoa; Chordata; Mammalia; Rodentia; Muridae
Description: RIKEN cDNA A730081D07 gene
Source: RNAcentral
GACCCUUCUGCGACGAGCUUAAGGAAGGAAGCCGCGGGAGGAGGCUCUCAGAGCAGAGAGAAAGAAAAGUUGUGUCAAGCAGAACUUUUUCUCAUUAAUAACACUGAGACCAUUCUUAAACUCCACCUUCUCUGGCGACACUACACACGGCUAUACUUCAUCUUCUCUCCACAUCCCUAAAGAAAUGAGAGACUCAGAAAGACACCCUGAGGUCUUAGAAUUUGCUUCCUACUGAUCAUGAACCAUCCUAAGGCUUGCUACAUCAUCUGCAAGAUGCAGGUCCUCAUGUGGCCCACCAGAGGGGCCCGAGCUGCUGCGGGUCAGAAAUACCAGCUCGGCUGUAUGGCGAUCUCACUCUGGUUGAGUGUUCUUUCUCGAAGCCUCAGUUCCAGGCAUUCCACGGUCUCUGUGACUGCUCCUCUCCAAACCAUUUCCCUCCAUAUUCUGAAGCCACCAUCUUGGCCCACGCUGCUUCUGUCUUACUGUCUGGACAGCGCUUAAAGGGAGGCUCCUCUUGUAAUGUGGGCGUCGGGAAGAUUCUGUUAAUACAUGGAAGGAGAGGUUCUACUCCAUUGAGACCGUCUACCACUGUCAUUUACGACUCCCUGCCCUGGUCACUCUGCUCUUCUGGACUCUUCCUCGCCCUACUUUAACCCUGGAUCAACCACUUCAGACACACCAUCUCCCCUGCCAGUCCCAAGCACAGCAGGCUGGCUCUCUCUGAUAGUCCCCAGAGGUUCGAACUUCUCCUGUAACCCUCUUCUCUCCCAGAGACACACAGCCCAGCCCCGGUCGACACCUCAAGGUCAUGUUCUCAGAAAGACCUAUGUAAUGGCUAUUCCUGUUUGUCAACUUGACUCUAUCUGGAAUGACCUACAAUCCAGAAUUGGAGGGCUCACCUGUGAUCCAGAUCUUGAGGCUGGAAGACACAAGUUUCUGACCUCAAUCUUAGCAUGGAGAUCUUGAGGCACAGUGGCCAUGAAAAGCUUAGGUCCAGGCAAGGUUGUAUAUGUCUUUAAUCUCAGGAGACUUGAGACAAGGAGAUCUCUGAGUUUAAGGUCAGCCUGGGACAAAAGCAAGUCCCAGAUCCAGGCAUGGUGGUAACACACCUUUAAUCUGGGCCACACCUUCUGCUGGAGGCCUACAUAAAGACAUUGGAAGGAGGAAGAUUCCCUCUUCUUUGCACUUAGCUGCCAGCACAUCUGUUGGAACCUUCUUCUACAGAUGACCAGCUGAAACAACUAGCUGGUGGGACUGAGAACUACAAGAUUCUUGGACUUCCCAUUCACAGCUGAGCAUUGUGGGACUACAGACUGUAAGUCCUCACAAUACAUCCCCUUCAUAUAGAGAGACAUUCCCUAAGCACUGUGACCUAGAGAACCCUGACUAAUGCAGCCUACCCAACUGCCCUCCCUCCCUCACUUGUGUUUUAGGAUUUAUUGUCAAUUGACGAGUGUGCAUGUGUGUAUAUGUACACGUGUAAACACACACAGAGCGCAUGCAUAGAUGUAUGCAUCAUAUAGAUAACAUACACAUAAAUAUUAUACAAUUAUAGAUAAUCUUUACAAAGUUAUAGUUUCAUUUAUGCAUUAAUUUUUGUUUCAUAAAUACAUAUUAAAAUGUGUAAGGCUA